This 482-nucleotide ribosomal RNA is filed under the name uncultured bacterium. Its description in RNAcentral is "bacterial SSU rRNA". It matches the Rfam family "Bacterial small subunit ribosomal RNA", at positions 29 to 507 of the family's 1533-position model. The record is from RNAcentral.
AUGAACGCUGGCGGCGUGCCUAACACAUGCAAGUCGAGCGAGAAUCUGCCGACGGAUCCCUUCAGGGGUGAAGAUGGGCAGAGGAAAGCGGCGGACGGGUGAGUAACGCGUGAGUAACCUGCCCUUAGGAGGGGGAUAACACAUCGAAAGGUGUGCUAAUACCGCAUGAUAUAUAUUAGCCGCAUGACUGAUAUAUCAAAGAUUUAUCGCCUAAGGAUGGACUCGCGUCUGAUUAGAUAGUUGGUGAGGUAACGGCUCACCAAGUCGACGAUCAGUAGCCGAACUGAGAGGUUGAUCGGCCACAUUGGGACUGAGACACGGCCCAGACUCCUACGGGAGGCAGCAGUGGGGAAUAUUGCGCAAUGGGGGAAACCCUGACGCAGCAAUGCCGCGUGAAGGAAGAAGGUCUUCGGAUCGUAAACUUUUGUCUUCAGGGACGAAGAAAGACGGUACCUGAGGAGGAAGCCACGGCUAACUACGUG